AACGAACGCUGGCGGCAUGCCUAACACAUGCAAGUCGAACGAGACCUUCGGGUCUAGUGGCGCACGGGUGCGUAACGCGUGGGAACCUGCCCUUAGGUUCGGAAUAACUCCCCGAAAGGGGUGCUAAUACCGGUUAAGUUCUUCGAACAAAGGAUUUAUUGCCUUUGGAUGGGCCCGCGUUGGAUUAGCUGGUUGGUAGGGUAAAAGCCUACCAAGGCGACGAUCCAUAGCUGGUCUGAGAGGAUGAUCAGCCACACUGGGACUGAGACACGGCCCAGACUCCUACGGGAGGCAGCAGUGGGGAAUAUUGGACAAUGGGCGAAAGCCUGAUCCAGCAAUGCCGCGUGAGUGAUGAAGGCCUUAGGGUUGUAAAGCUCUUUUACCCGGGAUGAUAAUGACAGUACCGGGAGAAUAAGCUCCGGCUAACUCCGUG
RNAcentral lists this ribosomal RNA (433 nucleotides) under uncultured bacterium. RNAcentral describes it as "partial 16S ribosomal RNA". It matches the Rfam family "Bacterial small subunit ribosomal RNA", at positions 29 to 507 of the family's 1533-position model. The record is from RNAcentral.